RNAcentral lists this long non-coding RNA (982 nucleotides) under Bactrocera tryoni. Its description in RNAcentral is "uncharacterized LOC120770490, transcript variant X2". The record is from RNAcentral. Lineage: Eukaryota; Metazoa; Arthropoda; Insecta; Diptera; Tephritidae.
UACAUAUAUGUAAUUCCUAAUGCUUACAGACGCUGAAAUUUGUACUAUGGUUCUUAAGAGAUUUUGUGGAGGUAAACAGCAUUACAUGAAGUACAUCGAAUUGAAGGGAUACUAAAUAAAAUGUAUGAACUCCAACUGUUUUUAAGACAGAUUCCUACCAAUAGUUCAUCAACAUUGUGUUGAAUUCCACUGGAUGUCUCUAUAAAUUUUGCAUCGUGUGAAGCAGCUAACGCUUUUCCUUCUAAAGACGAAACGAGAGAAAAUCAGGAUUUAUUGCAUAAUAUAUUCGGAAAUCAGCGCAGAUUACUCCAUUAAGAGACCCUGAUUUCUUCUGAUGCUAGUUACCUAAGUUUUAUGGAGAGCAUGUAUGUAGCGAGCGUGUUUUUCUUUGCGCCAGGCAACAUAACAAGCAAGGAAGGCUAAGUUUAGGUUUAACAGAAAAUGUUAUACUCUUGCAACUUGCAGGGAUCAAAUAAUAACAUUUGGCAUAAUAAUAAAGUUUGGCAUAACUAUGUACAUAUGUAUAUUAAAAACUAUAUUAAAACAUGAAAUCGUGAAUACAUUACAUUUAACUAGUCUUUUCUUCGCAUUAGCGAAAAUUAUUUAUGUAUGUAUUAAAAUCAUUCUCAAAUGAGAUAAAUGUUAUGUAAACUCAACCGAAGAUGCUAAAUUUAAUAUCUUGAGUUAAUGUGGAAAACGUCUACCAGAAGGCCAAAAAUAUUUAGGGAAAUGAGGUUUGGACGAAGGUCUAGGUCAACUCCAUUCAUAUUCACCGCUAAACCACAUAAUUUUUAUAACAGCUUCAAUAUUCAAAUAACGAAAAUCAUUAAAUAUGAUAUGGGCCAAUUCGUAGACCAAUUUCACAUACUUUAUUCAAUAUUAUACGUUCAGUUAAUUUCGGUAAUAUAUCAUAUAUGUAUAUUGAUUUAUAUAUACAUAUAUAGUAUAAAGCCAAACGGACGUUUGAAAAUCUUUGUUAGGU